This 581-nucleotide ribosomal RNA is filed under the name uncultured bacterium. Its description in RNAcentral is "bacterial SSU rRNA". The stretch from base 1 to 514 matches the Rfam family "Bacterial small subunit ribosomal RNA", at positions 338 to 873 of the family's 1533-position model. The record is from RNAcentral.
CCUACGGGAGGCAGCAGUGGGGAAUCUUGCACAAUGGAGGAAACUCUGAUGCAGCGAUGCCGCGUGAGUGAAGAAGGCCUUUGGGUUGUAAAGCUCUUUUGUAGGGGAAGAUAAUGACUGUACCCUAAGAAUAAGGUCCGGCUAACUUCGUGCCAGCAGCCGCGGUAAUACGAAGGGACCUAGCGUAGUUCGGAAUUACUGGGCGUAAAGCGCGCGUAGGCCGUUGAGUUAGUUAAUUGUGAAAUCCCAAAGCUUAACUUUGGAACUGCAAUUAAAACUGCUCGACUAGAGUUUGAUAGAGGAAAGCGGAAUACAUAGUGUAGAGGUGAAAUUCGUAGAUAUUAUGUAGAACACCAGUUGCGAAGGCGGCUUUCUGGAUCAACACUGACGCUGAGGCGCGAAAGUAUGGGUAGCAAAGAGGAUUAGAUACCCUCGUAGUCCAUACCAUAAACGAUGAUUGCUAGAUGUUGGAAAUUUAUUUUCAGUAUCGCAGCUAACGCAUUAAGNANACNCUGGAGACGACGCGAGUAACGUACAANAGAUAAGUGNGUUGAGAGUUGCGAGACGACGACGAGGGAGAG